Molecule: non-coding RNA, 8671 nt
Organism: Anas platyrhynchos (mallard)
Lineage: Eukaryota; Metazoa; Chordata; Aves; Anseriformes; Anatidae
Source: RefSeq, a predicted model, not a curated record
GGAUAAGAGCCAGUGUGGGAUUCAGUGCUAGUAAUUCAUCAACGGCCAGCUCUCCUUUCAGGGCACGUGGUAUUCUGCUAGCACAAUGGAUGCAGAGCCUGCAUGCAGAAAAAAAAUAAAAAUAGUAGUCUGCCUCCUGGAGGUUUUGAAGGGCUAGAGAAUUCAGAAGUACGUUUUUUGUUUGAGGUGUGGCAAUAUCAUCAGCUGGACUUGGGGCAUCUGCCUAAACUUGCCUGGCAAUUUUAGUUUGGUACCUUUAUUUUUCACUUUGCAGAAGACUGUACAGAAACAUUCAACUUUAAAAAGAUCAAAUUUCAUCUUGGAGGAGUCUGAAUUUCAUUGUGAUUGCAGGCUGGUGUGAAUUUCAUUGCGAUUGCUGUAGAUCCCAGCGUGUGAGCAGUUACUGCUGCUGGGCGUGAGGCUGCAGAGGAAGGAUCGCCCUGACCUGAGAAACGUUUCAGAAAGUAGUUACCCCCCAGCCAAAGGACCUGCAGGCUGCUUGGGUAAGGAGAUAGGUUUAAACUGCACCAGAGGAUGACCUCUUCCAAAGUUAUUAAAAUAAAAGGUGGUGAGAAAGCUCUGUGUCAGGGCACGAGCAUUGGGCACUGGUGUUCAGGAGCUUGGCACUUUGCAGUGUCAGUAGGUGCUGUUUGAAACAGGGCUGAAAUGGGGUUUUUCUCCUGUUUGGAGCCACAGUACCUUGCUGAGGUUAGCCUUAUCUUAUUUACUGGGACAAAGGCCAUGCUAUCCAGCAGGCUCACUCCAAGAACACAAAGAAAUGAAACUAGCACAUGAUUUAGAGCACUGGGUCACGGUGUACUGUGCUCACACAGCUCCGCCAGCAGCAGGAUUCAAUCAGUAACUACUCGGGAUCCUUGCUCCGAGCAGUGCUGGCCUCCUAGCAGUGAUGCUUCAGUGACUCGUUGGGCAAUGUGCACUUCAGGGAAUGGUGUGCAUGCAGAGUGGCUCUGGGAGAUCGAUGCCCCCAUCCCAGACAAGCAGUAAAAGACCUGGUUGGUGAGGCGUUGAAAAGACAAGCACUUCAGCCUACGUUUACUGGCGGGGGUGAGAGGAAACAGACCUUAAUGUCUGCUUCAAUGGUUGUGCACGUGGAGUUCAUGGCUAUAAAUAAGCGGUAUUGCACAACCAAGGUAGUUUUCCCUUGGAAAUUUAAUAUUGAAGUUUGCUUUGGUGCCUGGUUCGAGUGCUCUUCAGCAUAACAGCUCCUAAAACCGUGUUAACAGAGGCACAGGAAAACAAGAUGGUAAUCAGAGUAGCGUCCGAAGGACCAGUAUGUUUCCACCUGCCAACGCAAGAAGCUUCUGGCAGGGCACUGUGGCAUUUUAUAACCAUGAACUUUUCCAAGCAAUGUCUCUGCCUCAGCGCUCAUAAGAAAAUGUUUGUUACCGGGCACAAACACGCCAGUGUCUGGCAAGCCAAGUGUUGUGCAACCUGCGUGCCAAAGUGCAGAGCGGAGGGCGGCUGAAAGGAGGCGGCUCAUUCACAGGCACAGAGUGAUCAGCUGGGAAAUAAUGACUUGUUUAGGAACGAUACACUGUAAAUCACCGGGCUCACUGUUUGGCUAGUUCGACUUCAGUUCUGUCCACUGAAAAGGAUGUCUGGUUCCUGCGGCUGCUGGAAAGGGUGGAACCUCGUGUGUGACAACGACUGGAAGGGCCCCCUGAGUACCUCCUUGUUUUUUGUGGGAGUCCUGCUUGGAUCUUUCAUUUCGGGACAACUCUCAGACAAGUUUGGCAGGAAGAAUGUGCUGUUUGCAACCAUGGCAAUGCAGACCGGCUUCAGCUUCGUCCAGGUCUUCUCUACCAGCUGGGAGAUGUUUUCAGUGUUCUUUUUGCUGGUCGGCAUGGGACAGAUAUCUAACUACGUGGCAGCGUUUGUUCUCGGCACGGAAAUUCUUGGCAAAUCAAUCCGUGUGCUAUUCUGCACACUAGGUGUUUGCAUAUUUUAUGCAUUUGGCUACAUGUUGCUGCCACUGUUCGCUUACUUCAUCAGAGACUGGCGGAUGCUGCUGCUGGCACUUACUUUACCUGGGCUCCUCUGCAUCCCACUCUGGUGGGUCAUUCCAGAAUCUCCACGGUGGCUAAUCUCUCAGGGACGGUUUCAAGAGGCAGAAGACAUACUCCGAAAGGCUGCAAAAAUUAAUGGUAUUACACCCCCAGAUGUAAUACUUGAUCCUAGUGAGCUGCAGGACGUGGAUUCCCAGAGACAACAGACAUACACCAUUUUGGAUCUGAUGAAAACCCGAAAUAUUCUAACUAUAACAAUUAUGUCCGUGAUUUUGUGGAUGAUAAUCUCUGUUGGUUAUUUUGGACUUUCUCUUGACACACCCAACUUGCAUGGAGAUGUCUAUUUAAACUGCUUCCUCUCAGCAGUGAUUGAAGUUCCAGCCUACAUUAUUUCCUGGCUGCUGCUUCGAAAUCUCCCCCGACGGUAUUCAAUGGCUGCUGCGUUAUUCUUGGGAGGCUGUGUUCUUCUCUUCAUUCAGCUGGUGCCUUCACAGUUCCGUGCCGUAUCUAUUCUCCUCGUGAUGUUGGGGAAAUUUGGGAUCACAUCUGCCUUCUCAAUGGUUUAUGUUUACACGGCUGAGCUUUACCCAACAGUGGUGAGAAACAUGGGAGUUGGAGCAAGCUCCAUGGCCUCCAGACUUGGCAGCAUCCUCUCACCUUACUUCGUUUACCUUGGUGCCUAUGACAGGUUCCUGCCUUACAUCCUGAUGGGGAGCCUGACCGUGCUAUCAGGAAUCCUGACUCUGUUUCUGCCAGAAAGUUAUGGUAUGCCUCUUCCUGACACAAUUGAGCAAAUGCUGUUGGUGAAAGGUUGCAGGGCUACAGUCUUAUUGGAGUCACGGAGACAAGGUGAGACGGCUCCCAUGACUGGAGUGUUGCAGUGGAGGGAUACAGGCUCUUUAGGAAGGACAGACUGGGACAGCGUGGAGGUCGAGUCACCCUCUGUGUGAGAGCAGCUGGAAGGAAUGGAGCUCUGCCUCAGGAUGGAUGAACCGUAAAGAUUAAGGGUAAGCGUUACAGAGCAGAGCAGUACGGGUGACGUAUCGGGCAUCUGCUGUAGGCCACCCAACGAGAAAGAGUAAGUGGAUGAGAUUCUCUACCGACAGCUGGAAGUAGCCUCGUGUUCACAGACCCUGCUCAUCAUGAGGGGCUUCAACCAUGCCAACAUCUGCUGGAGGACCAACACAGCAAGGCGUCAGUGAUCUAGGAAGCCCCUGGAGGGCAUUGAUGACAGCUCUCUGACCCAAGUGGUGGAGCAAAAAAGGAAGGGUGAUCUGCUAGCCCUUGUACUCAAAAACAAGGAAGUACUCGUUGGAGAUGUGAAAGUCAAAGGUUGAAGGCAGCCAUGGAUACAGUGGCCAUAAGAUGGUAAAGCUCAGGAUCCUUUGAGAAGUAAGCAGGGUAAAAUGCAAGAUUGCAACCCUGGGCUUCAGGAGAGCAGGGCCUCUUCAGGGAGCUACUUGGAAGAGUCUCAGAGGAUAAAGGCCUGGAGAGAAGCAUAAGGAAGAUGGUUAAUACUCAAGAAUCACCUCCUCCAAGCUCAAGACCAUCCCAAUGCAAGGGUAGACAGGCAAAAAUGCCAAGAGUCUGCAUGAACAAAAAGCUCCUAGCAAAACAAAUACAAAAAACAUUUUUACAGGCAGUGGAAACAGGGAUAAGUAAUCUGGGAGGAAUCUAGAGACACUGUCCAACCAUACAGAGAUGCAAUUAGAUGAUCCUUCCCCUCUGUUCCACACUGGUAAGGCCCCACCUGGAGUUCUGUGCCCAGUUUGGGGCUCCCCUGUACAAGAGAGAGACAGACAGGCUGGAGAGAGUCCAGUGAAAGGCCACCAAGAUGGACUGAAGCAUCACUCCUGCGAGGAAAGGCUGAGAGAGCUGGGACUGUUCAGCAAGGAGAAGAGAAGGCUCAGGGGAGUUUUACCAAGGUACAUAAAUACCCACAGGGAGGGUGAAAGAGGAUGGAGCCAGGCUGUUUCCAGUGAUGUCCAGUGAUAUACCCAUUGCCUCUUGUCCUACUGGCACACAGGAACAUCAGGAAACACUUUUUGUGCUGUGUGGGUGGCAAAACAUUGCCACAGGUUGCCCAGAGAGUCUGUGGGGUCUCCGUUCUUGGAGAUACUCAGAAGCUGCCUGGAUGCAUGCUCCUGGGCGAGCAGCACCAGGUGCCCCUGCUUGAGCUGCGGUUGGACCAGAAGAACCCAGAGCUUCCUCCAGCCUCCAGCAGCCUGUGGUUCUGAGAAGAGGGAAGGACUUGCCUAGGUAUUGUCAGAUUGGAAUACAGGCCUGCAUCUACAAGGAAUUCAAAGGAUGAAGAAGAAAAUCCAGAGAUUUUUAAGAGCACAGCUUUUUAAUGAAACUGUCUGCUUCCUUGUGGAUUGAAAGUUAAAUGGACUUUUCUUCUAAUAUUCCUUCUAGAACAGGCUAGUGGCAACACUUCUUCCUGCAAUUUUAACCUUAUUUAUAAAUUUAAGCACUGUGUUCCAAACAUUCUCAUUUUAUAUGGCCAUAAAUACUGUGUAGCCUUCAAUGAGAUUUUCAGCCGCCUUAAUGCAUUAGUACCAUGGAACAGUAUCUGGUCAAUCCUUUGUAAGUAAGUGUGUAGUUCAGCUGAACAAUACUUGAAAAUGAGUUCAAGGGCUAGCAGAGCACCUGGAUUCAUCAGUGAGCCUUCUCCAGAGCUGAUGCCCAUCAAGAAUUUAAAAUAGCUAGAAAAAGCUGCUAAUUGGUUUUGAAUCCUUGACUUCUGUCUCUGGACAGAAAACUUAUUUAUUAUAGUAAAGGUUAUGAAAACGUGCCUUUGUUAUCUUAAGAGACUUUACACGUGCUGAAUUUGGUAACAGAUUCAGAAAGAUGCAAAGAAAGAUUUUUGAGAAGGAAUUCUAACGUGAAAUGUUUUAACUCAGCAUAGUGAAAGGAUAGUCUUGCACAAAAUACCUGUAGCAUUGAAGCUUUGCUCACAAAAUCCACUGGAAUCCAAUGCUGGUUUUCAACUACAUACGUCUGAUGAAGUUGUUUACAUCUGACACUGGAAUGUGGCCUGAUUUGAGGCUGUAUUUAUUUUAAAUGAUGCAAAAGGUUUCAUCUGUGUGUGUAGAGGCUGUUGUUAGUUUGGAGUUCUUCCUUUUUGAUGAGUGUUGGAAAUUUACUGUCUGCAUUGUUUGUUUGUUUUUUAAAUGUUCUGUGCAAUUUGGGAUGAUGGAAGUGAUUCUCCUGUCCUUGUUCUGUCCUAUCCACAUACAUGCACAUCCACCUACUAUCAAUAAUCCACGCCACUCCACUGACCUCAUGGUAAAAUUUACCAAGAACAACGUUUAGAAUAUGUUUGUGACCACUGGUUCUUGAUUCUCAAGUGCCAACGGUUUGAUUCCUGUGAGGUCUGUUACUUCACUUAACUCGUGUUAAUUGUGUGUGUGAAUUUCUUAAAGGAAAAGAAAAAUCAUGUUGAAAAUCUGCCAAGAAAUUAUUCCUUGGGUCAUAGAAGCACUUUGGCACUACCUGUGUUUCUUUAAAAACAUACAAUAUACACCUACGCACAGUUUCGUUUGUGCCAUCCUGAACUUGCAUUACUUAAUACUGUGACAGAUGUGUAUGGUGAAAGCAUUUAUCUGUGGCACUUGUUUGUGUUUUGUCCUGUCUUAUAACGACUGAAUAAACAGAACCUGAACCUGUAUAGUCCAAGCUGUUAGGGGCCUUACUUUCUAGGUGCAGCAGCAAUUCACGCAGUUGAACAGCUGAAUUGCCAAUACUCUGUGUCCUGUCCUUGCUAACCGGGCUGCAGCAGCUGGCUUGGUGCAGUUCUGUGCCCUCUGGACUGUUCAUCUGGGAAGCAAGAAGGCAGAAACUCUGCACGGACUGCAGUCUUUGGGUUUGUGUUUUACACUCUUCCUACCAAUGUCUUAAUCUGCAGGGCUUGCUCUUCUUUCCCUGCAUCUUCUCAUCUAAUUGUUCAACAUUUUAUCUUCUGGAUGCAGCAGGAAGCUGGCCAGCGUCGCCAGGCCACAGAAUGAUACGGAGAAGCUUACUUUUGUCAUACUGCCAGCUCUUCUGAGGAGAGAAAUCCCAAAGUUCCAGCAGGUUCAGUUUCAUUCCUGUUUGGCAGAUAGAGAGGCAUUUAACAGAUGAGUUUAAAAUGGAGUGCAUAAUUUGAAAAUGGUGCAUAUGUUGAGAGCCUGAAUUUUGCAAGCUUCACUGCACAUCACUUAAUGGCCUUGAGCAAACAAAUGUCAGGAGAGGGCAUGAAUCAGCCGGGCUUCCUGGUGGUGGGAACAUCCCUCAUCCAAAAGCCCUGAUAGAAUUUGUCAGGUUUCCCACCUUGCACCUUUUCUGGAAAAUUUUAGACCGUAUUCUUACAUAUGCAACAAGCUCGGUGCCAAUAUAUUUUUGUAAGCCUUAUCUCUUUUAAACUGAUAGGAACUGGAGCAUCCAGAAGCAGCUGCUUUUUUGUGUCGUAUAUAGAAGAAAUGUGAUCACCACAGGAAUUUGAGGCAAAGCACAAUUAGCUGCAACUUCCUUGUGAUGAGUUUGCCAAUGUAAACAACUGUGUCCCAUAAGCCUCUUCCUGUAAACUGUUUCAGAAAAUAUCCUGAGAUGUAAAAUACAAGAUACGUGCUUGCCUGACACAUGAUCUAUUAUAGAAAUUCCUGUUAAAGUCCAUCUAACAUCUGAUUUAGCUGUUAUUUUUAAUCCACUGUGUCAACCAGGUAUGUGCCUGAUAGUCUUUUGUUCUUGAAUAUUUGAGUACUCUGAUGUUUACUAAACAAGGGCCGAGGGGUUUUUUUGUUUAUUUUUGGUGCAACCUAAUUGGGGAAUUUUCUGGUUAUGACUAACACUGCAAAACACAAUGGCCAGCUCUGUGUCACAAAAUACACUUUCUUCCUUGCUAAUCUUAAAAGUAAGAAGUGUGACUCAGAAACAAUGUAUUUAGUAUAGCAUCCUGGGUUAUUUUCUGUUUAUUUUGCUGUCCUGCACUGAUCCUCAGGCUUAUCUCUAAAACAAGGAACUUUAGUGAUGAAUGUAUCGUUCUAAUCUCUAAAACAAGUUCCUUGUUUAAAGCAAGUUCCUUGUUUUAGUGUGUAGUCAGAAUCCAGCUACCAAGUAUUUCCAGAAGAACUCAAGGGACUAUUUUAAUAGCAUCAACAGGCAGGUGAUGUGAUCUGGGCAAGACGUAGAUUAAAUGAACUGAACCAGUAGUUAGCAGGUGUUAGAGUGACAUCAGCACUGGCAACAAGUCAGAUCUAUGACACUAACUGUGGCUGUGGGUAGCUGUGGAACAAAGCAUUAGUGCUGCACAGUACCAUGGUUUGGGAUGGUGCUCACUGACUGCAUGGCUUACUUCCAGUAUUGUCUGGGGUGGUGUUUCCCUAUAGACAUGUCCUUGGCGUGUCGCUUUGUGUUACAGGGAUGUGAAGCAGGACUGGGACCUGUUUUCUGAGACCCUUCUGUAAAGGGACUGCUGUUAUAACUUCAGGCUGAAUGUUUGCAAUGCCCAUAACCUGCGUUACAACAGCAGAGACUUCUGGCUAGGUGAAAUUAUCUGCUGCUAGAGAACCAUGCACGUUACAGGGCGUUCACCAAGGAAAACAGUAUUAAGGCCUUGACCUGGGAACUAGGGUGUCUUCAUUUAUAGCUCUUUGACUGACUCCUCAUCACCUCGGGCAAGUUGCACAAUCCUCUGACUGGUUUCCUUGCAUGCAAAUGGAAAUACCGUUAGCUCAAAAGGUACCACAACUUCUUCAGUCACUUGUUCAUGCAAAACAGUCAGAUUUCAUAGAAUUUUCUGGCUCAACUCUCCAGACUGUGAAUGCAAUCCUCACAACAGCAUUAUCUGGUAAUUCAUCUUUCAGAAGCAGGCAGGUUUGGGUCACUUCUGACACUGCACUUUAAGAGGUGUGAGCACCUGCUCCUGUGCUUCCAAAUUACGGUUUGAAAGAAGAAAGCUCAGGGAGGUGGUGCAUAGGACUGGGGAAUGGGACUGCAGUAAGUCAAGGCAAGGGUUGGGCUCUGAAUGCUUAUUCAUGUUAUUUUAAUUGCACAACCCUUUCUUGGUUUGAUGCGGAACUGCCUUCAGCCUGCUGCCUGUGAGGAGGAGCAUUCUUUACAACUUUCUCUGUGUACCUAACCACGUCAUAAAAACAGUUUGUGUCUGGGAGACUUCCAUUUUGAGAUACGGUGAUACCUGGACUGAAUUGCUGAGCUCAUGGAAUCCGAGAUGAACGUGAGUUACACCCGGCUCUGUUUACAGCCACUCGUGUUUCACCCAUGGGGGCUGUUCUUGGUUGUGCUCUCCAGAGACCUAUGUACAGUAGGCACCUGCAGAAGUUGUUGGGACUGUCUCUGAAUAAACUUGUAUUUCACUAUUUGUAGAACAGGGCCUUAACUUGCAAACCAGUUUUAAGUUUCUUAAAACUUAGAAUCAGCUUAGGCAGCAUAACGCAUUGGUUACACGUGCCUUUGGGAGUACUUCAACCUCCUAGUGAUGAUCACAGCCUUGUACAUAGAAACACGUGGAAAUUUCUUUUAAGAAUGUAAAUAUUCCUAGCUGUAACUAAAUUGAUUCUUACACUUUAUAUAUAUAUAUAUAUGUAGAAAAAUGCUUGUUGUUUGUAAAAUUCUGAAUAAAAUUGUAUCUGGAAUUCUCUUUAAAA